This 375-nucleotide ribosomal RNA is filed under the name Nematoda sp. Its description in RNAcentral is "SSU rRNA". It matches the Rfam family "Eukaryotic small subunit ribosomal RNA", at positions 252 to 626 of the family's 1831-position model. Lineage: Eukaryota; Metazoa; Nematoda. The record is from RNAcentral.
CUGAAUAACUACGCUGAUCGCAUGGUCUCGAACCGGCGACGUAUCCUUCAAGUGUCUGCCUUAUCAACUGUCGAUGGUAGUUUAUAUGACUACCAUGGUUGUAACGGGUAACGGAGAAUCAGGGUUCGACUCCGGAGAGGGAGCCUGAGAAACGGCUACCACAUCCAAGGAAGGCAGCAGGCGCGCAAAUUACCCACUCUCAGAUCGAGGAGGUAGUGACGAAAAAUAACGAGACAGUUCUCUAUGAGGUCUGUCAUCGGAAUGGGUACAAUUUAAACCCUUUAACGAGGAUCUAUUGGAGGGCAAGUCUGGUGCCAGCAGCCGCGGUAAUUCCAGCUCCAAUAGCGUAUACUUAAGUUUGUUGCGGUUGAAACG